AUUACAAUCACAUGUGAUUAAUCUUGCAGCCCUAAUUCGAUUCCUUGUUCUUUGUCCUGUAUAAAUGUGUAUCUGUGUAUCAACGGCAAGUGAAGUACCUUACUUUGGAGAAUCUUAUCAAAACAUAUUUUAGCAUCUCUGCUUCCUGUAGGAGAUUCACCAGAUCAACUGACUGACAUAAAGAGGAAAAAGGUAACUUCUGAUUUGUGAAGGUCUUCCUUAACGUUUAUACAUUUAUGGAUUUCAGGAUGGCCGUCCAUGUGCUCUUGUUUCUAACC
Long non-coding RNA from Carassius auratus (goldfish), 278 nucleotides. RefSeq lists it as uncharacterized. The transcript is spliced from 3 exons. NCBI's taxonomy places the organism in Eukaryota, Metazoa, Chordata, Actinopteri, Cypriniformes, Cyprinidae. The record is from RefSeq and is a predicted model, not a curated record.